Molecule: ribosomal RNA, 250 nt
Filed under: uncultured bacterium
Lineage: Bacteria
Description: partial 16S ribosomal RNA
Rfam family: Bacterial small subunit ribosomal RNA
Source: RNAcentral
UACAGAGGGUGCAAGCGUUAAUCGGAAUGACUGGGCGUAAAGCGCGCGUAGGUGGUUUGUUAAGUUGGAUGUGAAAGCCCCGGGCUCAACCUGGGAAUGGCAUCCAAAACUGUCAGACUAGAGUAUAGUAGAGGGGGGUAGAAUUUCCGGUGUAGCGGUGAAAUGCGUAGAGAUCGGAAGGAAUACCAGUGGCGAAGGCGGCCCCCUGGACUGAUACUGACACUGAAGUGCGAAAGCGUGGGUAGCAAAC